UUUCCGUAGGUGAACCUGCGGAAGGAUCAUUAUUGGAUUUUGAAACUUCAGGCUGCUGCUGGCUCUCCUCGGAGGGCGCGUGCACGCUUGUUGUCCAUUAUUUCUCCCACUGUGCACAAAUUGUAGACCUUUCAGUAGGCCUAUGUUGUUUUUCACAAUCUCUGAAUGUAAUAGAAUGGUUUUGAAUCUUGGGAAAUACAAUACAACUUUCAGCAACGGAUCUCUUGGCUCUC
This 233-nucleotide unclassified non-coding RNA is filed under the name plant metagenome. Its description in RNAcentral is "partial contains small subunit ribosomal RNA, internal transcribed spacer 1, and 5.8S ribosomal RNA". The record is from RNAcentral.